RNAcentral lists this unclassified non-coding RNA (229 nucleotides) under plant metagenome. RNAcentral describes it as "partial contains small subunit ribosomal RNA, internal transcribed spacer 1, and 5.8S ribosomal RNA". The record is from RNAcentral.
UCUCCGUAGGUGAACCUGCGGAGGGAUCAUUACAGAGUUCAUGCCCUACCGGGUAGAUCUCCCACCCUAUGUUAUUAUUACUUUGGUGCUUUGGCGGGCCGUUAGGCUCCGGCCCGACUACCGGCCCCGGCUGGUAAGCGCCCGCCAGAGGACCCAAAACCCUGAAUAUUAGUGUCGUCUGAGUACUAUAUAAUAGUUAAAACUUUCAACAACGGAUCUCUUGGUUCUG